UCAAGGCUGAGCAAAAGCCAACAUGUGGAAGGUGGUGAGGCUGGUUCUGAGCUUCAACCUGAGGCUUGCUUGCAACUGCAACCAGCCAACGAACCAACAGCUACGGUUGAACCAUUUCACCAAUCCUUCCAUUACACUGCAUCUCAUCUCAUGGGCACAUAUAUAUACCAGGCCAUGGGUGGCAUAUUGUUGUCCUCUGUCUUGUUGGAACUUCAUAAGCUCUCAGCAGCAGCAGCAGCAUCACUGAAGCAGGGUGAAGCUGGGAACAAGGCAAGGCAUGGUUCCUUUCAAAGGGGAGCAUAUAUGCUUAAUUUGUCGCAGAGAAUGGUGUCUCGGAGGGGGUUUGGAUCCAUCGUCCUUGCUAAGAAAUCCUAGUAAGGAAAUAUUCUCGGAAUUGGACGAAAUCAACGCCCAGGAUCUUAUUUUUCCACGAAGCUUCCAGAACACUGGGGGAGAUACGAAGUGGGGCGACGAGGCGGCCAGACGCUAGGGCGGCGUGGCCCAAGCCCUGGCCGCGCCGGCCUAGUGUGUGGGCCCCUCGCGUCGCCCCUAAACCUACCUCUCCGACUAUAAGAAGCCUUCGUCGAUAAUAACUCCAGUACCGAGAGCCACGAUACGGAAAACCUUCCAGAGACACCGCCGCCGCCAAUCCCAUCUCGGGGGAUUCAGGAGAUCGCCUCCGGCACCCUGCCGGAGAGGGGAAUCAUCUCCCGGAGGAGUCUUCAUCGCCAUGGUCGCCUCCAGAGUGAUGAGUGAGUAGUUCACCCCUGGACUAUGGGUCAAUAGCAGUAGCUAGAUGGUCGUCUUCUCCUAAUUGUGCUUCAUUGUUGGAUCUUGUGAGCUGCCUAACAUGAUCAAGAUCAUCUAUCUGUAAUGCUAUAUGUUGUGUUUGUUGGGAUCCGAUGAAUAGAGAAUACUAUGCUAUGUUGAUUAUCAAUCUAUUAUCUAUGUGUUGUUUAUGAUCUUACA
Long non-coding RNA from Lolium perenne, 969 nucleotides. RefSeq lists it as uncharacterized. The record is from RefSeq and is a predicted model, not a curated record. NCBI's taxonomy places the organism in Eukaryota, Viridiplantae, Streptophyta, Magnoliopsida, Poales, Poaceae.